GGAGACCAAAUCAAUGACAACACUGCUAUGUAUUACAGCUGUUAUGGAGAUUACAACCUGAAGCAGAAGGAAAUGUACUGCAAGAUGUUUGCAUCUCUCAAUUCUCUUUCAGUAGAAGAAGGCUCAAAGUUAGAAAAUAACAAUGUAGAGGAAUCCACUGACCAGGAAGCCCCCAGUCCUGUUGCUCAGAAUCUGGAUGACCAGAAGAAAGAGACUGAUCUAUAAUAUGAUGGAUCUCCACUUCUGUUUGGAACACCAUAUUGUUUUAUGCGGAGUACCGAACGGAUAAAAAUAUGCAGUUAAAUACACAUGAUGAUGCAUUUCUCCAGGGAUUGCUCAUUGUUACUGGCACUCAGAGACAUUUGUUGAGAAGAAGUUAUAUCUCUACUGUUUUGUUCUCACUGUGAAGAAAAUUCUGGUAAAUGAUAAGUUUAAUAUGAGACUAUUUUUCUUUUUGCUCUGAUAUUCAAAAGGAUGUAAGUAGAAAGUUGCAAUGUUUUGUGUUUUUCCAAGAAUGUUCUUGUGUUCCUUGUUAUGCAAAAUAAAUGUACUUCUGAC
Non-coding RNA from Anolis sagrei ordinatus, 558 nucleotides. The record is from RefSeq and is a predicted model, not a curated record. Lineage: Eukaryota; Metazoa; Chordata; Lepidosauria; Squamata; Anolidae.